RNAcentral lists this small RNA (2141 nucleotides) under Pan troglodytes (chimpanzee). RNAcentral's name for it is "retained intron". Lineage: Eukaryota; Metazoa; Chordata; Mammalia; Primates; Hominidae. The record is from RNAcentral.
GUAACAUUUUUUGCAGAAUUUAGAAAACUCUGUCCUAAAUCUGAACUGACAGGCUCUUCUUAAUGACUGCCACAACACAAACACUGAGAAAAAGAUGCAACCAGAAAAGGUGGAAAGUUCUGAUGACAUAGAAAAUAGCAAUCAGCCUUUCUCACAUCCCAAAGCCUUCAAAAAUAUACGAGUGCAGCAUGGCCACUAUGGAAUUCACCGAAAACUAAUCACCAAGCUACAAACAUGGUGAGAGAAAAAAAAGGGCAAGAAUAUAUCUGGCUUAUCACCUCCCACUUUUGCCUACUAAUCUGAUGCUGAAAAGAAAUGCUCAUUGAAUCAUUUUAGAUUUUGAAUCUUUCAGAUUUGGGAUGCUAAACCAGUAAGUAUAUGACAAAUAUUUCAGAAUCAAAAAAUAUCAGAAAUCCAAAACACUUUUUGUCCUAAAACUUAUGCAUAAGAGAUAAUCUCUGUGAACUAUAGGCAUCAAGCUCUACAGCAGAUCUCUAGAACCUCUCCAACUUGCAUAAUUGAAACUGCACACCCAUGAACAACUUCUGAUUCUCCCCACUCCCAGCUCCUGGCAACCAGCAGCCUCGUCUCAUAUUCAAUCUGGAAUCAACUUACAUGAGGUGCCUAGAUUCGUGGAACCCAUGAAAUCAGAGAGUAGAAUGUCCAAUGAAAGAAAAGAUUUGCAAAACUUCUCUCCAAAUUUGUCUCAUAUCCAUCAAACACACAUGGUCCAUGAGGACUAGAUUUCCAGCAGUUCAUUCCCACCCUUUCCACCAGUCAGUUCUGCAUUUGCAAAUGUCCACAUGUAUUUCUAGAAAGAUCCACAUGGUCCUCACCUGCCCUCUGCAGAAGGAGAGGAAACUUAAAGAACCCAGGACAGGGAACAUGCUUCUGCUCCAAAGCCACCAGCCCUUGCCUGUCCCCUUCACUCUUUCUAGAUCAUUCCUUGCACUCUGCUCUAUCUUUAGAGGUCACUGGUUCAAGUAAGUCAUCAUGAAACACCUGCAAAAAAACUGCCCCACCUGGUGCCUCUAGUGCCUGAUGACUGAACUGACCUACAGGCUUGCACUGGUCUUCCCUGUGUUAUUUCUGCUGAAACAUCCAGUCCCAGGCCAGGCUGCUCAGUAUCUUCAGGGUUUCAGGACAAUGGGAAGUCCCAUUAUUACUCAUCUCUAGAAUGUCCUUGGAAAUGGAAGCUGCAGAGAAAUCACAUCUAGGGGGGCAAAGUAGGAUGGAAUUUGGAAGGGGCCCAGCAGUUGCACAUUCCAGGUAAGGAACCCAAGGUGAGCCAGCCAGUCAACUGAUUAAGGAGGGACUGGGAGGGGUACCAGGGGCUGUGACUCCUACUGAUGUGUCUGUCCAUGACCCAACACUGCUGCUCAAUGGACACUUCAGAAAGUCUGUGCUUCCCUAAGACAGAGCAGGAGGCCUCACAGUCUUUGAGCCCUUAGAUCAUCAUGCAUCUGUCCUGUGACACAUGCACCAGCUACUGGUUUUCAAGGACUCAUGUGGGUUUACAGGUGGGAGAUGCCAACUCUGAUGGAAGGAUGCCUGUGGAGGAAUCAAAGGUGCCACACAGGACAAUCUUCUCUCUGUUAUCCACACAGCGAAGCUGCCCAUGCCCUACAUCACCAUCAACAACUUAAACCCCAGGGAGAAGAAGGAUGUGUUAGCCUUCACCUGUGAACCUAAGAGUCGGAACUACACCUACAUUUGGUGGCUAAAUGGUCAGAGCCUCCCGGUCAGUCCCAGGGUAAAGCGACCCAUUGAAAACAGGAUACUCAUUCUACCCAGUGUCACGAGAAAUGAAACAGGACCCUAUCAGUGUGAAAUACGGGACCGAUAUGGUGGCAUCCGCAGUUACCCAGUCACCCUGAAUGUCCUCUAUGGUCCAGACCUCCCCAGAAUUUACCCUUCAUUCACCUAUUACCGUUCAGGAGAAAACCUCGACUUGUCCUGCUUUGCGGACUCUAACCCACCGGCAGAGUAUUAUUGGACAAUUAAUGGGAAGUUUCAGCAAUCAGGACAAAAGCUCUCUAUCCCCCAAAUUACUACAAAUCAUAGCGGGCUCUAUGCUUGCUCUGUUCGUAACUCAGCCACUGGCAAGGAAAUCUCCAAAUCCAUGAUAGUCAAAGUCUCUG